GUAGGUGGCAAGCGUUGUCCGGAAUUAUUGGGCGUAAAGCGCGCGCAGGCGGUCCUUUAAGUCUGAUGUGAAAGCCCACGGCUCAACCGUGGAGGGUCAUUGGAAACUGGGGGACUUGAGUACAGAAGAGGAAAGCGGAAUUCCAAGUGUAGCGGUGAAAUGCGUAGAGAUUUGGAGGAACACCAGUGGCGAAGGCGGCUUUCUGGUCUGUAACUGACGCUGAGGCGCGAAAGCGUGGGGAGCAAACAGGAUUAGGUACCCUGGUAGUCCACGCCGUAAACGAUGAGUGCUAAGUGUUAGGGGGUUUCCGCCCCUUAGUGCUGCAGCUAACGCAUUAAGCACUCCGCCUGGGGAGUACGGCCGCAAAGGCUG
This 372-nucleotide ribosomal RNA is filed under the name uncultured organism. Its description in RNAcentral is "partial 16S ribosomal RNA". It matches the Rfam family "Bacterial small subunit ribosomal RNA", at positions 527 to 896 of the family's 1533-position model. The record is from RNAcentral.